UACUUCAAGUACUUCAUAAGUGUGAUGACUGGGUUUUCACAUGCAUAUGUGAGAUAUUCCUCCCUCAAACCUUGUAAUGACAUUGACAUAUUAUCCAUCUCAGG
This is a small nucleolar RNA of Pan troglodytes (chimpanzee), 104 nucleotides long. It matches the Rfam family "Small nucleolar RNA U13". Lineage: Eukaryota; Metazoa; Chordata; Mammalia; Primates; Hominidae. The record is from Rfam.